CGGGAAGAAAGCUUGCUUUCUUUGCCGGCGACCGGCGCACGGGUGAGUAACACGUAUCCAACCUACCCUUUACUCGGGGAUAGCCUUUCGAAAGAAAGAUUAAUACCCGAUAGCAUAAUGAUUCCGCAUGGUUUCAUUAUUAAAGGAUUCCGGUAAAGGAUGGGGAUGCGUUCCAUUAGGUUGUUGGCGGGGUAACGGCCCACCAAGCCUUCGAUGGAUAGGGGUUCUGAGAGGAAGGUCCCCCACAUUGGAACUGAGACACGGUCCAAACUCCUACGGGAGGCAGCAUG
Molecule: ribosomal RNA, 290 nt
Filed under: uncultured bacterium
Lineage: Bacteria
Description: partial 16S ribosomal RNA
Rfam family: Bacterial small subunit ribosomal RNA
Source: RNAcentral